CCCUUAGAUGUUCUGGGCUGCACGCGCGCUACACUGACAUACUCAGCAAGUUUCCUUUCCCGAAAGGGUUGGGUAAUCUUGUUAGUGUAUGUCGUGAUGGGGAUAGAAUAUUGUAAUUAUUGCUCUUUAACGAGGAAUUCCUAGUAAGCGCAAGUCAACAGCUUGCGCUGAUUACGUCCCUGCCCUUUGUACACACCGCCCGUCGCUCCUACCGAUUGGGUGAUCCGGUGAAUGGUUCGGACUCUGGCUAUGCUAGCUACUAGCUACGUCAGGGAAAGUUCUGUGAACCUUNUNACUUGGNGGAAGGAGAANUCGCANCA
This 320-nucleotide ribosomal RNA is filed under the name uncultured eukaryote. Its description in RNAcentral is "partial 18S ribosomal RNA". It matches the Rfam family "Eukaryotic small subunit ribosomal RNA", at positions 1470 to 1796 of the family's 1831-position model. The record is from RNAcentral.